AAACCAACAGGGAUUGCCUUAGUAGCGGCGAGUGAAGCGGCAAAAGCUCAAAUUUGAAAUCUGGCUCUUUCAGAGUCCGAGUUGUAAUUUGAAGAAGGUAUCUUUGGGCCUGGCUCUUGUCUAUGUUUCUUGGAACAGAACGUCACAGAGGGUGAGAAUCCCGUGCGAUGAGAUGACCCAGGUCCGUGUAAAGUUCCUUCGACGAGUCGAGUUGUUUGGGAAUGCAGCUCUAAGUGGGUGGUAAAUUCCAUCUAAAGCUAAAUAUUGGCGAGAGACCGAUAGCGAACAAGUACAGUGAUGGAAAGAUGAAAAGAACUUUGAAAAGAGAGUGAAAAAGUACGUGAAAUUGUUGAAAGGGAAGGGCUUGAGAUCAGACUUGGCAUUUUGCAUGUUGCUUCUUCGGGGGCGGCCUCUGCGGUUUGUCGGGCCAGCAUCAGUUUGGGCGGCAGGACAAUCGCGUGGGAAUGUGGCACGGCCUCGGCUGUGUGUUAUAGCCCGCGUGGAUACUGCCAGCCUAGACUGAGGACUGCGGUUUAUACCUAGGAUGUUGGCAUAAUGAUCUUAAGUCGC
Molecule: ribosomal RNA, 570 nt
Filed under: Candida viswanathii
Lineage: Eukaryota; Fungi; Ascomycota; Pichiomycetes; Serinales; Debaryomycetaceae
Description: eukaryotic LSU rRNA
Rfam family: Eukaryotic large subunit ribosomal RNA
Source: RNAcentral